AAGAAGCCCUCGCCCUCCCCUCGCCCUCACUCACUCAGGAGUCAACAGGAUUUCUUUCAUCCCUUUGCCCCCACCCUACUAAACAGAAAAGAUGAUGCUUUGAGUUUUAUCCCACUUUUGGGUGCUAACCUCAGAAUAUGGAGCAACUGGAUUUAGUGAUUCUUGUGCUGUUAGGAAGGUCCCUGGUCUUUCAUAAGAAGAGGAAACAUAUUUUUGUUAUUUUCUGAUGCAAAGUUAUGCUCUCUAUGUAAGCUUGACACAAGACCAAGAAUAGUAGACCAUAAUUUUAGAAGGUUUCAAGACCUGAAACCACGUGGGGACAUGACUUGUAUUUUGAGGGAAAUGUUUUACCCCUUUUAAUAUACUAUGUUCUUUAUAUACUUGAAGUUAUGGACAUGCUAUCUUGUUGCUUGUUUUGGUGAGGGAUGAAAAAUGAACACUAGCUUGGGAGGGGCCAGAAUGGUAUAGCUCUUUAGAAAUAGCCAUGAUCUCAGGAUCAGAAACCCUUCCAACCCUAAUUACUUCUUCCAUUUUCUAAGUUAUGACCCUGGGUCAACAAACGAAACCUUUUGGAACUUUAUGUUCUACAUCUGUAAAGUCCUUGGCUUGCCUAUUUCACAACAUUAUUGUGUGACUCAGAUUAGAGUACUGUGUGUGUAUCAAACCCUUUGACUUUCAUAAAAUUGGAUGAAGAUAUGUUACUGCUGCAAAUCCAGAUUUCCAAAUGUAUUACUUAGAAAGAUGGAACAAAGUCUUUCUUAAAAACAAGUACUUUGCUCACUUCAUUUCAAGGCUUUGAAAUAAAACUUACAUUGGCUUUGACCUGUCCUAGUCUAGAAUUCAGUAAUCAUAGGAUUAGAUAUAAGCUAGUUAAGUUACAGUAUGAGGUGUUCAUGAUCCCUAAAACAGAAACUGUUUUAAGUCAGAUUACUCAGAAAGAAUACAGAUAAUAGGAACCUGUAUGAGUCCCUGCUUAACUUCUGCUCUGUGCAGACUUUGAAGAGCUUUAUUAUGUCAUUUGCCUAGAUUCUAAUUCAUUCUGUGGUCUUUCUAUGUAUGAAUGUUCAUAUAGUCAUGGUACAUUAAAAAAAAAAUGUAACCAUCAAAGAGCUUUAGAGCUUAUUAUUUAAACUCAUGUCUUUCUCCCACUCUCACCUUCACGGUAUUCUGGAGGCUAUCUACCUCUGAAGAGGUUGUAGAAGUUUACUGUGGAACCUUAGAGGUGUAGAAAAGGAAAAAAAGAAGAAAAACAUAUCCUCAG
Molecule: long non-coding RNA, 1261 nt
Organism: Myotis daubentonii (Daubenton's bat)
Lineage: Eukaryota; Metazoa; Chordata; Mammalia; Chiroptera; Vespertilionidae
Source: RefSeq, a predicted model, not a curated record